This 1066-nucleotide ribosomal RNA is filed under the name uncultured zygomycete. Its description in RNAcentral is "eukaryotic LSU rRNA". It matches the Rfam family "Eukaryotic large subunit ribosomal RNA", at positions 1 to 923 of the family's 3401-position model. The record is from RNAcentral. Lineage: Eukaryota; Fungi.
AACUCGAUCUCAAAUCAAGUAAGACUACCCGCUGAACUUAAGCAUAUCAAUAAGCGGAGGAAAAGAAACUAACAAGGAUUCCCCUAGUAACGGCGAGUGAAGCGGGAUGAGCUCAAAUUUAAAAUCUGGCUGGUUUACUAGUCCGAAUUGUAGUUUAUAGAAGCGUUUUCGGUGGCAGCCUGGGUAUAAAUCCUUUGGAAUAGGGUAUCAUAGAGGGUGAGAAUCCCGUCUUUGACUCAGUGCAUGCUACUAUGUGAUACGUUUUCAAAGAGUCGAGUUGUUUGGGAAUGCAGCUCAAAAUGGGUGGUAAAUUUCAUCUAAAGCUAAAUAUUGGCGAGAGACCGAUAGCGAACAAGUACCGUGAGGGAAAGAUGAAAAGAACUUUGAAAAGAGAGUUAAACAGUGCGUGAAAUUGUUGAAAGGGAAACGUUUGACACCAGUUAUGCGGGUGGAAAAUCAGUCUUUUGCAAUGGGGAGUUGUGGGCGUUCAGACCGCAAGGCUGGCGUUUGCUUCAUCUUUGUUGUAAGUGAUGCACUUUUUCAUUUGCAGGUCAACAUCAGUUUGCUUUGCUGGACAAAACCCCAAGGGAAGGUGGCAGCUUAGGCUGUGUUAUAGCCCUGGGGCGAUACAGUGGAGUGGACUGAGGUUUCGCAGUGUGUGCUCUCGGGCAAGGCUGACUGGGUGCUAUGGGAUCGUUCGGCGUACAAUGCAUGCAUUUUGCGUCGUGUCUUUUUCAUACUCGCUCAACUCGGCUCUUCCACACUUAGGAUGUUGACUUAAUGGUUUUAAACGACCCGUCUUGAAACACGGACCAAGGAGUCUAACAUAUAUGCAAGUGUUUGGGUGGCAAACCCAUGCGCGUAAUGAAAGUGAACGUAGGUGCGAUCCGCAAGGUGCAGCAUCGACCGAUCUUGAUAUUUUUGGAUAGAUUUGAGUAAGAGCAUAUAUGCUGGGACCCCGAAAGAUGGUGAACUAUGCCUGAAUAGGGUGAAGCCAGAGGAAACUCUGGUGGAGGCUCGUAGCGAUUCUGACGUGCAAUCGAUCGUCAAAUUUGGGGUAUAGGGG